RNAcentral lists this ribosomal RNA (274 nucleotides) under uncultured bacterium. Its description in RNAcentral is "partial 16S ribosomal RNA". It matches the Rfam family "Bacterial small subunit ribosomal RNA", at positions 523 to 796 of the family's 1533-position model. The record is from RNAcentral.
AUACGGAGGGUGCAAGCGUUGUCCGGAUUCACUGGGCGUAAAGCGCGCGUAGGCGGCUACUUAAGUCAGAUGUGAAAUCCCCGGGCUCAACCUGGGAACUGCAUCUGAUACUGGGUAGCUAGAGUUUAGGAGAGGGAAGUAGAAUUUCAGGUGUAGUGGUGAAAUGCAUAGAGAUCUGAAGGAAUACCAGUGGCGAAGGCGGCUUCCUGGCCUAAAACUGACGCUGAGGUGCGAAAGCGUGGGUAGCAAACGGGAUUAGAAACCCCUGUAGUCC